UACGAAGGGGGCUAGCGUUGUUCGGAAUUACUGGGCGUAAAGGGUUUGUAGGCGGUUGAACAAGUCAGUGGUGAAAGCCCAGGGCUUAACUCUGGAAUUGCCAUUGAAACUGUUCAGCUUGAGAGUGUUAGAGGAAAGUGGAAUUCCUAGUGUAGGAGUGAAAUCCGUAGAGAUUAGGAGGAAUAUCGAUGGCGAAGGCAGCUUUCUGGGACAUUUCUGACGCUGAGAAACGAAAGCGUGGGUAGCAAACAGG
RNAcentral lists this ribosomal RNA (253 nucleotides) under uncultured bacterium. RNAcentral's name for it is "partial 16S ribosomal RNA". It matches the Rfam family "Bacterial small subunit ribosomal RNA", at positions 524 to 776 of the family's 1533-position model. The record is from RNAcentral.